Molecule: long non-coding RNA, 264 nt
Filed under: Elaeis guineensis (African oil palm)
Lineage: Eukaryota; Viridiplantae; Streptophyta; Magnoliopsida; Arecales; Arecaceae
Description: long non-coding RNA (EGUI_LNC066409)
Source: RNAcentral
UAGAGAGGAGUAGUACUAUGAGAUUUGAGAGGCUAAAUCUGAGAGUCUGUGGUUACAGCAGUAUGAUUAAUAGAAAAAAAAUUUUAUGAGGAUCAAAAUUAGACUUGGGCUAAUUGAAUCUAUUAUAUGACUGAUGAUGAGGUUUGACGAUUUAUCCAUGACCUACCAUCCAGUCAGGACUCACAAUAGAGGGACUGAAUCAUAUAUGAACUAUAUUUUGAGAUUUUUUUUAAUUCUAUCAGAUUGCUACUACAUACUGCUAGG